CCCUUAGAUGUCCUGGGCCGCACGCGCGUUACACUGAUGCAUUCAACGAGCUUAUAACCUUGGCCGCGAGGCCUGGGCAAUCUUGUUAACGUGCAUCGUGAUAGGGAUAGAUUAUUGAAAUUAUUAAUCUUGAACGAGGAAUUCCUAGUAAACGCAGAUCAUCAAUCUGCAUUGAUUACGUCCCUGCCCUUUGUACACACCGCCCGUCGCACCUACCGAUUGGAUGGUCCGGUGAAGCCUCGGGAUUGUGGUUCUUGCCGCUUUAUUGUGGCGUGACCGCGAGAACUUGUCUAAACCUUAUCAUCUAGAGGAAGGUGAAGUCGUAACA
Molecule: ribosomal RNA, 328 nt
Filed under: uncultured eukaryote
Lineage: Eukaryota
Description: partial 18S ribosomal RNA
Rfam family: Eukaryotic small subunit ribosomal RNA
Source: RNAcentral